Ornithodoros turicata is the source of this 601-nucleotide long non-coding RNA. RefSeq lists it as uncharacterized. The transcript is spliced from 4 exons. The record is from RefSeq and is a predicted model, not a curated record. NCBI's taxonomy places the organism in Eukaryota, Metazoa, Arthropoda, Arachnida, Ixodida, Argasidae.
GUUUUGUGCGCCGUUAGGGCCAGCACCCUUCUGUUCGCGCUGUAGGCGGUCUCAUCACCAUCGCUGGCGUCCUGUCAUAAGAAGCGUGUUGCGGUCGAACUGCUGUGGAAGGGUAUUCUUCUUGUCACAAGCAUCCAUAAAACAGAGAAGCCGGACUCGGAGGCACACACAUACGGGUUCCUUUAUUGCAGUACUGACUGACUCGCCUGCUGGGGAGCCAUACAGGAAAGAAAGGAUCUAACAGGUGCUUGGUAACUACAUAUCACAUGGCAACGGGUUAGCUACAGCAUGCUGCGUUCCUACGUUCCAGCUCUAUGGCUGCAAGAGCACGCUGGACGCCGGCGCGCACAGAUGAAGCCAACGUCCUUGAGCACGCUCGUUCGUCUCACGUGCAUGAAGCAGGUGGGUCAAGCUGCCGUUAAAUCAGCGUCAAACAGCGGAGGCUGCCAUCUUGUGAAACGCAGUUGCCAGACCCGGAAACCCGAAGUUCGCCCGUUACGGCGGCACAAAACACCGCUGUUGUCUUUUUGUCAUAUCUGCUUAAACACACGCAUUUUUUGAAAAAUGAUGCAGUAAACGGGUAAAAAUUAGUAAUAACUAA